RNAcentral lists this ribosomal RNA (377 nucleotides) under uncultured bacterium. RNAcentral's name for it is "bacterial SSU rRNA". It matches the Rfam family "Bacterial small subunit ribosomal RNA", at positions 523 to 898 of the family's 1533-position model. The record is from RNAcentral.
AUACGUAGGGUCCGAGCGUUGUCCGGAAUUAUUGGGCGUAAAGAGCUCGUAGGCGGCCUGUCGCGUCUGCUGUGAAAGUCCGGGGCUUAACUUCGGGUGUGCAGUGGAUACGGGCAGGCUUGAGGUAGGUAGGGGAGACUGGAAUUCCUGGUGUAGCGGUGAAAUGCGCAGAUAUCAGGAGGAACACCGGUGGCGAAGGCGGGUCUCUGGGCCUUACCUGACGCUGAGGAGCGAAAGCGUGGGGAGCGAACAGGAUUAGAUACCCUGGUAGUCCACGCCGUAAACGUUGGGCGCUAGGUGUGGGGACUUUCCACGGUUUCCGUGCCGUAGCUAACGCAUUAAGCGCCCCGCCUGGGGAGUACGGCCGCAAGGCUAAA